This is an RNA transcript of Aricia agestis (brown argus), 1107 nucleotides long. RefSeq lists it as uncharacterized. The record is from RefSeq and is a predicted model, not a curated record. The transcript is spliced from 6 exons. NCBI's taxonomy places the organism in Eukaryota, Metazoa, Arthropoda, Insecta, Lepidoptera, Lycaenidae.
AAUUUCCGUAGCAAAAAUACAGUUGAUAGUCGGCAACACUCGCGAUUUCGUCACUUGCAGUUCUGUAGCGGGCGUCCUGCCGUUACCACGCACGUUUUCCAAACACCGCUGACUCAUUUUCCACCCGCUGUUCACGAAUUGAUCCAAGAUGUCUCACUCGGUGACGAUAACGCGGACGACGACGACGACGUCGGGCAGCGUGCUGUUCCUCAACACCGGCUACCUCGGUACGCUGCCGGGCCUGCUCAAACUGGCUGAACUGAUUCUGGGCGCGGCGUGCGUGGGCGUGGUGGCCCACUACUUCUCCACGACGUCACGCAUGAUGGCCACCCCUGAGCUGUUCUACCUGCUGGUCGCAGUCUCCUUCCUCAUCGGCACAUUCUGUCUGCUAUUAUCUUACGUCGUCUCCGCGGCGACGGCGUCUGUUAUGUCCAAAACUAUUUACGAGAUAAUCUACCACGGUCUGGGCUUCGUGCUGUACCUGGCGGCCGGCCUCACGCUCAUCAUCGAGGUCAACCACCGCAAGAGGAGCUACCGGGACGACUACGAGCCCUACCUCGCUGCUGCGAUUAUGGGUCUGGUGAUGGCGGGACUGUUCCUACUGAGCACAUUCUUAGCUAAUCGUCAUCGAACAUUUUAAAUUUAAUCCUAAUAAUAAACAUAAGAAACAUAGUUUUAAGAUUUGUAAGCCUUUUAUGAGAUCUGUGCUAUUAAAAUGAUUCAAAAUAGUCGUACUAAAUUUGGACGCGUAAUGAAGGAAAUGUUUUGUAAUUUCGUAUUUUCAUACCUUUUUGUGGACGAACAGGACUUUUUUAACCUUUUCUAGAAGUAGCAAUAAAAACUGUAAUAAUUAUAAAGGCUUUUGUACUAUUUUGUAACGAUGUUUAGAUAAGAACAACAUUUAAAAUUUAAUCUAUGUUCCGUGAAAAGCUGCCUUAAAAGAUAAAUUUAGAUAUAAUGUAUACUUAAUAAUUAACGAUAAAAAGUUAUUAAGAUAUUAUUAGAGAAGUUGAAAUAUACCUACUUACAAACUGACUUCCACACAAUAUGUCAUGCCGAUCAAUAACGUAAAUAUUCUAGAAAUAAUAGAGAUAUAAUAUACUUAAU